CAUAAUCAUCUAAGUCUUUUCUAGCUAAUAGAAUCUCAACUCCAAAAUGAUCACUUGCAGUUCUCAAAACUUAAGCACCUAAAUCACUCGUAUCUAUAGAACAACCUACCCAAUUAUAUCAUCACCCUAGUCAUGUAAAUCACAAAUAACCUUAAAGGCAUAACUAAGAAAGAGAGCUGACACUAAAAGACCGAUAAUCCCACAAUCUCAUCACUGAUUUGGUCGCUCAAAUCACUUAGUUGGCUUCGAUUUCAAUGAUCAACCACAUUGUCUUACCAAUCAACAAUCUACGUCACGAAAAAGAAAGAAGAAAGAAAUUUCGUUGAUUCGGUUUUCCCUAAAUAGAAAAAAGAAAAGAGGAAAAUUGCGCAUCGCAUCACAAACGACAGAUCAAGGAUCGAUAUAUCGAAUGGAAACCCUAGAAGGAGGGCAAACGGGGUAAGAAGGACGGACCUUGCGGAGGGCGAUGGCAAGCUCGCCGCGGGUGAAGUUGGCAGUGGCGGCGGUGGUAAGCGGGAUGCCAUUCCGGAACUCGUAGAGGUGGACGUUCUUCUGGAUGUACUCGGUGAACUGCACCCUGCCACACACAGAUCACGGCAAUCGGCCGGCAAAUCAGAGGGCACGGACCGACGAAGAGCGAGAAGAGAAAAACAAAUGAAAGAUUAAGGGGAUGGGAACGGACCGGUCGCCGGCCUCGCCGGAGGCGCCGAGGAGCUUAUGGGAGUCGAGGAUCAUGACCUUGUCCUCGUUGGACUUGUGGACGAGGAUGCUGUGAACC
RNAcentral lists this long non-coding RNA (778 nucleotides) under Musa acuminata (dwarf banana). RNAcentral's name for it is "long non-coding RNA (MACU_LNC005946)". The record is from RNAcentral. Lineage: Eukaryota; Viridiplantae; Streptophyta; Magnoliopsida; Zingiberales; Musaceae.